GUGCCCUGUAUGGUUCCUUUCACUCUCAGUCCCUCUCAGUAAGAGCCCAGUGUGGCCCCAGUCACCUCCAGUAUGAGCCCAGUUACUCCCAGACACUCCCAGUACUAUGCCAGUCACUCCAAGUGUGACCCCAUCAGUCCCAGUAUGAUCCCAGUAUGACCCCAGCAUGGGCCAGCUGCUCCCAGUAUGAUCCCAGUUGCUCCCUGCAUUAUUCCAGUUUCUCCUCUUCACCCCUACUACAGAUCUGAUCACUCCCAGUAUGAUUCCAGUCAGUCCCAGGAUUAUCCAAACCAUUCCCAGUCCCUCCCAGUAUAUCUCAACUGUCCCCUGCGUGUUCCCAGUAGCCCUCAGUGUGGUCCCGGUAUAGCCCAGUAUGAUCCCUGGUGCCUCAGUUCUGCUCCCAGUGGGUUCUUUUCCCAGUCUGUCCCAGUCCCUCCCCAGCAGCUGCUGCCGUUUCCCAGAUCCUGCCCCCCCAACCCCAUUCCCGGGCACUGGGACCCCCCUGCACCCCCUUAUCCUGCACCAACACACCCCUGCACCCCCUUUCCCGGGUAUCCUCCUCUCCCAGCCCCUGGAUCCCCCGUUUCCGUGACCCGGGGACCCCCGGGCCCCCAUUCCUGGCCAGCCCGGGGCACCUCAGCCCCAGCCUCCCUUUGCUGGGAAACCCGGCCUGGGCACGGGGCUCUGCGGCCGCUCUGGGAUUUGGGAUCCCCCAAAGGAAAGGGAGAGAACAGCAGAGGGAGGGAGAAGGAGAUUGGCAAUCAGGGAUCGGGGUCCCAGCGCCCAGCCCUGCUCCGCCGGGGGUGGGACCGCACCCGCAGGACAAAUUGGCUCCGCUGCUCGCGGUGCUUGCCCGGCUUUGGGCCGGGCCCAGCGGGGUCCGGGCAGAGUUUGAGCGCAGGGCCGGGAGUUCAGCACAGCCCGGCCCGGGGGUCCCGCAGGGUGCGGCCCUGGAGGGUCCCAGACGGAUCCCCGAGGGAUCCCGACGGGUGCCAGGAGGGGAUCCGGGUGAAUUCCCUGGAAUUCGCCCUUUUCCCCUCCCCCUUUUCCCCUCCCCCCGCGC
Molecule: long non-coding RNA, 1063 nt
Filed under: Camarhynchus parvulus
Lineage: Eukaryota; Metazoa; Chordata; Aves; Passeriformes; Thraupidae
Description: lncRNA (ENSCPVG00000017533.1)
Source: RNAcentral